GACGAACGCUGGCGGCGUGCUUAACACAUGCAAGUCGAACGGAAAGGCCCUGCUUUUGUGGGGUGCUCGAGUGGCGAACGGGUGAGCAACACGUGAGUAACCUGCCCUUGACUUUGGGAUAACUUCAGGAAACUGGGGCUAAUACCGGAUAGGAGCUCCUGCUGCAUGGUGGGGGUUGGAAAGUUUCGGCGGUUGGGGAUGGACUCGCGGCUUAUCAGCUUGUUGGUGGGGUAGUGGCUUACCAAGGCUUUGACGGGUAGCCGGCCUGAGAGGGUGACCGGCCACAUUGGGACUGAGAUACGGCCCAGACUCCUACGGGAGGCAGCAGUGGGGAAUAUUGCACAAUGGGCGGAAGCCUGAUGCAGCAACGCCGCGUGCGGGAUGACGGCCUUCGGGUUGUAAACCGCUUUCGCCUGUGACGAAGCGUGAGUGACGGUAAUGGAUAAAGAAGCACCGGCUAACUACGUG
This 468-nucleotide ribosomal RNA is filed under the name uncultured bacterium. Its description in RNAcentral is "partial 16S ribosomal RNA". It matches the Rfam family "Bacterial small subunit ribosomal RNA", at positions 28 to 507 of the family's 1533-position model. The record is from RNAcentral.